AACUCACGAGUUUGAAGCUAAGUUGAACAAGAUUUUAGGUCUAGAUAUAAUGAAAUAAAAUUCAGAGGAGCCAUUUUAUUGGAGCAAAGGCUAUUGACUAUACUGCUUGGGAAAUAUUAAGAUCACGAGCCCAUAUUAUGCUUCCCUAGGAUUUGGCAUUCCUGGCAUGUAGAUUGUUCUAGCUUUUAUGAAUCUUCCUUCAGCAUCUCUAACGCAAAUUCCUAACUCAAAAUGAUUUAGAUUGGCAAAGGUUUUUGCCAUGGUGAUAGAGCUUCAGACUGAGGUGUUGAGUGUAGAGCAGUGGGUCAAUGCGCAUGAAGCCACUCAUUGAGAAAUUACAUUGACAGGGAUACCGAGACAUGUGGGUUGGGUUCUGAUUUCUUCUCCUCUAAACACACCAUAGAAUCAUGGCAAACUUCUGCAAAUGAGGUGGUUGAAGAUGAGCUCAAUUGUAGAUUUGUCUUGAUCAAUGUUAGUGGCAAUUAAGCUUCCCAGAUGCGUUUGGCCUGGGCACAGUCCAAGAAAAUAUGAACUCAUUUUCAAAGUUUCCGUCAUCAUAGCAGCUAUUACUUGAGCAUUGAACUCCCUUUGAUUGGAGUCUUAGCUGAGAGUUUUCCAUAUGAAGUGAUUCACCUUUGGUGGAACCCAAAGGUUCCAGAUGAUGUUCCAAUUUCCUGGAAGCUUCAAAUGCUCAUUUCGGAUCUAGUGCUCCAUGAGAUGAUGAUAUAUUGACUUGACACUAUAGUCGCCAUUGCUAGUUAAUCUCUACCUGAGCUUGUCAUUGU
Molecule: long non-coding RNA, 785 nt
Filed under: Glycine max (soybean)
Lineage: Eukaryota; Viridiplantae; Streptophyta; Magnoliopsida; Fabales; Fabaceae
Description: long non-coding RNA (GMAX_LNC003592)
Source: RNAcentral